GUAAAAUAGUGAGUAAAGAGCCUGAAAGAACUCAGAAAGUGAGUGUUGUCAUCAGCUUCGUCCUUUUGUUAAUUACGGGAUUGGAGUUAAAUAACAGCACUAGAUUU
Molecule: small nucleolar RNA, 107 nt
Organism: Beta vulgaris subsp. vulgaris (sugar beet)
Lineage: Eukaryota; Viridiplantae; Streptophyta; Magnoliopsida; Caryophyllales; Amaranthaceae
Rfam family: Small nucleolar RNA snoR97
Source: Rfam